UGGCGGCGUGCCUAAUACAUGCAAGUCGAACGGUCUUUCUAUGGAAGCUUGCUUCCACUGAGAAGAUAGUGGCGAACGGGUGAGUAACACGUGGGUAACCUGCCCAUAAGAGGGGGAUAACAUCCGGAAACGGUGCUAAUACCGCAUAGUUUUCUUGAUCGCAUGAUUGAGAAAGGAAAGACGGCCUUUGUGCUGUCGCUUAUGGAUGGACCCGCGGCGUAUUAGUUAGUUGGUGAGGUAACGGCUCACCAAGACGAUGAUACGUAGCCGACCUGAGAGGGUGAUCGGCCACAUUGGGACUGAGACACGGCCCAAACUCCUACGGGAGGCAGCAGUAGGGAAUCUUCCGCAAUGGACGAAAGUCUGACGGAGCAACGCCGCGUGAGUGAAAGAAGGUUUUCGGAUCGUAAAACUCUGUUGUCAGAGAAGAACAAGUUGGAGAGUAACUGCUCCAGCCUUGACGGUAUCUGACCAGAAAGCCACGGCUAACUACGUGCCAGCCGCCGC
This 507-nucleotide ribosomal RNA is filed under the name uncultured bacterium. RNAcentral's name for it is "bacterial SSU rRNA". It matches the Rfam family "Bacterial small subunit ribosomal RNA", at positions 37 to 518 of the family's 1533-position model. The record is from RNAcentral.